Long non-coding RNA from Stegodyphus dumicola, 377 nucleotides. The record is from RefSeq and is a predicted model, not a curated record. Lineage: Eukaryota; Metazoa; Arthropoda; Arachnida; Araneae; Eresidae.
ACGCGUUCGUACGCAGUAGUGGAAACGAGCCUUUAUUUGUAUUCUUGUUUGUAUUAUGUAUUCUUCUGUGGGACAAAAUUCAUCUAGACUUUUACAUCGCGUUUAAAAAGAACGUUGUGACAGCCAAAGAACAAAAUCGAAUUGCAUUGUCAAAAACUACAAGUCAUUAUUUUAAUAAAUUUAUCAAGGGCACCCCACGUUUUUAUUAUUUGUGAUAUAAAAUUUAAGGCGAAUUUGGAAUCAAGUGUCCAGUUUGUUCAAAAUUUGUACCACCAGAUGACGUGGAGUGCCAUUUAGUUAUGUGUCUUACGAAGCCAAGAAUUAUUUAUAACGAAGAUGUUUUAAUAGAAGAUAAAGGGGAAUGUGUUAUAUGUUUA